AUUGAACGCUGGCGGCAGGCCUAACACAUGCAAGUCGAGCGGAUGAAGGGAGCUUGCUCCUGGAUUCAGCGGCGGACGGGUGAGUAAUGCCUAGGAAUCUGCCUGGUAGUGGGGGAUAACGUCCGGAAACGGGCGCUAAUACCGCAUACGUCCUGAGGGAGAAAGUGGGGGAUCUUCGGACCUCACGCUAUCAGAUGAGCCUAGGUCGGAUUAGCUAGUUGGUGGGGUAAAGGCCUACCAAGGCGGCGAUCCGUAACUGGUCUGAGAGGAUGAUCAGUCACACUGGAACUGAGACACGGUCAAGACUCCUACGGGAGGCAGCAGUGGGGAAUAUUGGACAAUGGGCGAAAGCCUGAUCCAGCCAUGCCGCGUGUGUGAAGAAGGUCUUCGGAUUGUAAAGCACUUUAAGUUGGGAGGAAGGGCAGUAAGUUAAUGCCUUGCUGUUUUGACGUUACCAACAGAAUAAGCACCGGCUAACUUCGUG
RNAcentral lists this ribosomal RNA (484 nucleotides) under uncultured bacterium. RNAcentral's name for it is "partial 16S ribosomal RNA". It matches the Rfam family "Bacterial small subunit ribosomal RNA", at positions 30 to 507 of the family's 1533-position model. The record is from RNAcentral.